RNAcentral lists this transfer RNA (82 nucleotides) under Bdellovibrionales bacterium. Its description in RNAcentral is "tRNA-Leu". It matches the Rfam family "tRNA". Rfam says of the family: Transfer RNA (tRNA) molecules are approximately 80 nucleotides in length. Their secondary structure includes four short double-helical elements and three loops (D, anti-codon, and T loops). Further hydrogen bonds mediate the characteristic L-shaped molecular structure. tRNAs have two regions of fundamental functional importance: the anti-codon, which is responsible for specific mRNA codon recognition, and the 3' end, to which the tRNAs corresponding amino acid is attached (by aminoacyl-tRNA synthetases). tRNAs cope with the degeneracy of the genetic code in two manners: having more than one tRNA (with a specific anti-codon) for a particular amino acid; and 'wobble' base-pairing, i.e. permitting non-standard base-pairing at the 3rd anti-codon position. Lineage: Bacteria; Pseudomonadati; Bdellovibrionota; Bdellovibrionia; Bdellovibrionales. The record is from RNAcentral.
GCCCGCGUGGCGGAAUUGGCAGACGCGCUAGACUUAGGAUCUAGUACCGCAAGGUGUGGGGGUUCAAGUCCCUCCGCGGGCA